AAAUUGAAGAGUUUGAUCAUGGCUCAGAUUGAACGCUGGCGGCAGGCCUAACACAUGCAAGUCGAACGGUAGCACAAAGGAGCUUGCUCCUUGGGUGACGAGUGGCGGACGGGUGAGUAAUGUCUGGGAAACUGCCCGAUGGAGGGGGAUAACUACUGGAAACGGUAGCUAAUACCGCAUAACGUCGCAAGACCAAAGAGGGGGACCUUCGGGCCUCUUGCCAUCGGAUGUGCCCAGAUGGGAUUAGCUAGUAGGUGAGGUAACGGCUCACCUAGGCGACGAUCCCUAGCUGGUCUGAGAGGAUGACCAGCCACACUGGAACUGAGACACGGUCCAGACUCCUACGGGAGGCAGCAGUGGGGAAUAUUGCACAAUGGGCGCAAGCCUGAUGCAGCCAUGCCGCGUGUAUGAAGAAGGCCUUCGGGUUGUAAAGUACUUUCAGCGAGGAGGAAGGCAUUAAGGUUAAUAACCUUAG
This 475-nucleotide ribosomal RNA is filed under the name Citrobacter freundii. RNAcentral's name for it is "bacterial SSU rRNA". It matches the Rfam family "Bacterial small subunit ribosomal RNA", at positions 1 to 472 of the family's 1533-position model. Lineage: Bacteria; Pseudomonadati; Pseudomonadota; Gammaproteobacteria; Enterobacterales; Enterobacteriaceae. The record is from RNAcentral.